AUCCCUUAAUCUACACCCUGAGAAAUACAGAGAUGAAAAAGGCCAUGAGAAAUGCUUGUUGUCAAACAAUAUUUUCAGAAGAAAAACAUAAUUGAAUUUUCCUCAACAAAAUGCUAAAAACUUUAUGCAGGAGUAAAAGUGGACUUGGAAUCAGAGAGCUCUAUUAGCUUUCAGAGUAUUGAACCCAAAUUGUUCACUUUGUAAAUGUCAGAGAUGAUGAGCUGAAAAAUUAUGAGUAAAGUGACAACACCACAAAUCCAUAAUACCUGUAUAUAAAAGAUUCUGAGUUAAAGCAAUAGUAGUUGUGUCAAAUGGAGUGGUCAGUUGUGAAGUUAAAGAGAAUUUUAAUAAUUAUUCAAUGGUAAUCUUCAGGAUUGGGGACAAGACAAAUUGCUGACGCUCUCUGGCCACACAGAAAAUUAAGAAAAUAUGUAAAUCCUAGUGAAGGGUUCGCAAACUGUCAAAAUGAGUAGAAGAAGUGUGUGACCCUGACGGUUUCCUGAGUAACUUAAAACUAACUUGAGGGCCAUCCACGACUGAUGUGCAGGUAAUUGCCCUUAUAAUUCUUCUUUUAGGCUCACUUGGUCUAUUUGAUAUUUCUUUUGUCAUUUGAAGGCUAUACAUUCAGAUGUGAUAAAAAUCCAAACAAAAGUAAAAAAGGUCUUUUUGCAAUAUUUAGUUUCGAUUUUAUAUUACAGAGUUUGCAUUUUUGGAUAAUAUGUUUAAAAAUAAUGAAAUUUUUAAAUUGUCAGUAAUGUUUCAGCCUCCAAUCUUCGAAGAAAUUCUCAUAUUUCAAAUAACCAAUCCCUUAAAGUUUUCCACAUUCAUCAGAAUCAGGUAAGUAAGUUUUCCUAAGGCACAUGCUGAUUACACCAAUAGAAAUGUGUAUAUACAUAGCAUAUAUAGGCCGUAGAUGACCUAUAGGAAAAUGCUAUUUUACAAUGCUGACAGUGCCUCAUAAGGAAUGAACAGGACAGUUAAACAAUAUCAUAAAAGGUGAAAAAUGACUUUUUAACUUAAUUUUGUUAGCAUGAAAAAACAGACUACUUAUUUAACAUUAAGUGUUAAGAAAUUCCCCCAGGUAACAAAUGAUAUCACCAGAUCGAUUUUAUUUUGCCACCCAAACAUUAUCCACAUUGGAGUUUGUUCUGAUUCCCCUGCUAAAAUCUAUGUUGCACUUUUGUUCUUGUUUAUUUCACGAAAUUUUAUUGUGGGCGUAUGUCUGUUUGCAGGACAAUUUAACUAAUUCUUAAUCUCGUCAGUCAAAGAAAGAAUAUAAGGAAAAGAUUAUGAUUGUUUUGUACCCUCCAUAUUCCCUGGCGAUUUUGUUUCAUAAACUCACGUAUUUCUCAUUGUUUCCCUGAACGAUGUAUCUAUGUCCCGGUUAUAGAAGUUAAUACUCAAGCUUAGCUGGGUUCAAUGUCUUAUGCAAAUGAGCAGAGCUUGUGUGAAUGGAAAGAAACAAAAUUGUCCUAUUUAUUCUUGUUGAAAUUUCAUUAUAAAUGGUAACUGAAAGUACAACGUAUAAAAUGUUGGGAAUAAGAUGUAGUAAUUGUCUAAAUUCAUGCUGGAUGAUUGGUUAUCAUUGCCUCUAAUCUGGAAGGGCUUUUAAGACUUGGAUAUCAGUUCCUAUAUAAAACUUAAAUCUCAAUGAUUGAAAAAAGAAUGUAGCCACACUUCACUUCAUAUUAUUUCACCUGAUAGCAAACAUCUGAAUAUUGGAAACAUCCAGGUGAUCAAUAUUCUUUCUGUAGUACCACACGUUUACUGAUGUAUAGACAGUGCUUUGAAUAAAAGCGUUUUUUUUCUCCACUUUAUUUUACUCUCCCCAUCAUUUCUAAUUCUGCCUACAUCGCCUUCGUAACAUCAAUUAUUCUUUUACAUAAUAGUGUCUUCUUUUCUUCAUUUAUGUGUUUAAUACCUUGAAGUUUUCCCAAAAAAUGUCAUUUAUUUCCCUCACUACAGUUUCUUUCUCCUAGAGUUGGUCACACUGUCAUUACUAGUGUUUCCAAGAGUAAUGAUAUCUAAUUUCCAUAGGUAUACGAAUUGGAAUGUUAACAGCUGUAGUGGUCAAAUUCAGAGCCUGGUGUAGCGAAACAACAUCAAAGCAGAGAUAUGCUACAUCACUCAUUUAUUCUUAUAACUAUUGUGAUAUAUCUCAUAAUGAUCUAGGUGUCUGUCAUCUUUCAUGAGAUGAAAAUCGUGAUAAUUCCUCCACUGCUGUCUUCUCUGAUACAUGCCCUUUUCCUGUGGGAGGCAGCACUAAACAUGAUAAGAAUUAGGAGAUCUAGUUUAAAAACUCUGCCAUUCAUCGGUUCUUUAUUUUGGGAAAUUCACUUAGUUUCUCUCAAUCUAUCUCUUCUACACUAAAAAGAAUAUGAUUGGAUUAGAUGAGUAUUUAAUUCCUGUCACUCUAAUAACUAGACAUUUGCUAUUUAACAAUUCUUUUAAAAAUCACCUUUGUUUUGUGUACAUUUAUUUAAAGGAACACACUAUAUUCUUUUCGUAAACGAGCUAUUAUUUGCAACUGUAACUUUGACAAUAUAUUUAAAGAUAUAAGAAAAAGUUAUUAAAUUUUAUGGAGGUGCUAUAACUUGUACAAAACUUUGAGGAUAAGACCUGUUGUCUUCAUGUUAAAAAGGAGGACCAAAAUGUCUUAAGCAAUAUUGACAUAAUAUGAUUAAGUUAAAACUUUCCCUGCUUACCGUAGUCAAAGAUAUUGAGCUAAAAUUGAAAAGAGAAUUAGUCCCUCAAUUUACUGCAGAAUGUGCUUUAAAACCAUGUGUGUUUACCAGCUAAAUAAUCUUAAAUAUCACUAGUAAUACAGCUACAGAAUUUGGAAAAUGCUGAACUUGUUAAUGUAUACAUAUUGUUGCAUCAAAAAUUAUGUAUAAUUAAUAAUGCUUGUUUGUCGGGCCAGGAUAUGGCUGCCACAUCUCAUAAAGGGGUAGGAUAGACAGCCACCUGGACACCAGCUAAUUCCUCAUGAAUGAGGGGAAUAGAACUUGGAAGUUUGUGCUCUCUGCAGUACAUUUUCCCAUUGCCUUUGUGUAAGUCCUACCCAAAUCAAACAGAACAUAAUAUAUGCAAAUCCAUGAAUAAACUAUCAACAGAUAAGAGCUGAGUACUUCCUGACCACAAUGUUUGCCUUAGAGUUACAUUGCAUGACAUCAUUUUUAUUGCUAUUUAUUCCAACAGAGCACAUAAAUUGUGCAGAGUUCAAAUAUCUUGUGCAUUUUGAUUAGUGUAUUUUCUUUAUUUUGUGCUCCAUUAACUGUAAUGACCAUAGAGUUUACCUUAAAACAUUCUUUACAAUAAAAAUUAAAUGAAAUAUCAAUAGUUUUUCUAACUUUUUUCAAAAUGUUAGUCU
Molecule: non-coding RNA, 3370 nt
Organism: Equus caballus (horse)
Lineage: Eukaryota; Metazoa; Chordata; Mammalia; Perissodactyla; Equidae
Source: RefSeq, a predicted model, not a curated record